GACGAACGCUGGCGGCGUGCCUAAUACAUGCAAGUAGAACGCUGAAGGAGGAGCUUGCUUCUCUGGAUGAGUUGCGAACGGUUGAGUAACGCGUAGGUAACCUGCCUGGUAGCGGGGGAUAACUAUUGGAAACGAUAGCUAAUACCGCAUAAGAGUAGAUGUUGCAUGACAUUUGCUUAAAAGGUGCAAUUGCAUCACUACCAGAUGGACCUGCGUUGUAUUAGCUAGUUGGUGGGGUAACGGCUUACCAAGGCGACGAUACAUAGCAGACCUGAGAGGGUGAUCGGCCACACUGGGACUGCGACACGGCCCAGACUCCUACGGGAGGCAGCAGUAGGGAAUCUUCGGCAAUGGACGGAAGUCUGACCGAGCAACGCCGCGGGAGUGAAGAAGGUUGUCGGAUCGUAAAGCUCUGUUGUAAGAGAAGAACGAGAGUGAGAGUGGAAAGUUCACACUGUGACGGUAUCUUACCAGAAAGGGACGGCUAACUACGUG
RNAcentral lists this ribosomal RNA (495 nucleotides) under uncultured bacterium. RNAcentral describes it as "partial 16S ribosomal RNA". It matches the Rfam family "Bacterial small subunit ribosomal RNA", at positions 28 to 507 of the family's 1533-position model. The record is from RNAcentral.